GCUCCCCGCGGACCAGACCGCCCCACCCGGCUCUCCCUCGGCCCGGUACCCACGAGCGCGGCCUCCCCGGAGUCUCCCCACCAGGGCCUCGUCAGGAGGCGUACCCGAAACCCGGGAACGGAGGGAUGCUUCCCGGCGUCUCAGGGCCUGGGGUUCGAAACCCUGCUCUGCCGGAGUCCGUCUGCGGCCUCGGAGCCUCAGUUUCCCCUCUAGGUCGAGGUACCCGGGAGGUGAAGGAAUGGUGGCAGUUCUCGUUACUAGCCCCACCCCACCCCCGACCCCGGGCGGUCCACGGCUGCCCUGCACCCCGCAGGCACUCUGCAAGGGUUGUUGAAUGAAUACGUAUACAGAGUCCUGGGAGGCCAUAGAUCUUGGACACCAGGAUGGAGGAUCGGCCUGUCCUGGCGUCUUAGAGUGAUGCCUGUGCAAGGAAUUCACAGUCUGAUGGAAGGAGAAGCUCUGCGAACCAGCGACCCCCUCUCGCUUCUGUGCGGAGUGCUGUGAGACGCCAGAGCGGCCCGAGCUUCGCCGGGAGGGUCUCGGGGUAAGUUUGCCCGCAGAGGUGAUACCUGAAGCAGACAUCAGAGGUUGCCCAGGGUAGGAGGGUGUGAGACAGACUCUCAAGAACAAUGAGAGGUGCGGUGACCAGUACGGAGCGUCUAUCGAGGACACGAACUGGGUGAAAGGAAGACAGGUGGCUGCAACAAGCCAACUGAAGUAGACCCAGGUUUGUUUUAGGAAGGUUUCAGCCCGCGGUCUGUGCGCUGUGGAGGGAGGUUGGGGCAGGUGCAGCUGGAUGCCGGGCUGUGCGGGUUUGCCCCUUGGGGUGUCCAGCAGCUUCCUGGCCUGUGAUCUGAGUGCCUCCCCGACUCCACAGACACAGUCCUGCCUUGAUACUGAUGUCUCUCCUCACAGUAUACAUGGAAAAUCUGUUAACAAUGACGAUUCCUGGACCCUGGUAACUCGGAUGGGACAUUUAGGAAUAUGUAUUUUAAAAAUGUUCUCUCAUUUCCAUGCACAAAAGGCCAUGAACCAUGGCCUACAAUUACUGUUUGUUUUACGUCAUUGCAAACAAAUUAGUUUUGCAUUUGGAAGAAAGAUUUAAUCUGCUGUUAAGGCCUCAAUUUGAUUAGUUUCGCAUGCCUAGCAGCCAGGUGGCACACCUUUAUCUGUAGUUGGGUUGAGCGGGGGCGGGUAAGAACAUCCUGGGGUAAGCCAGUGACUGUGAGAGGAGGCUAAAUGGGAUUUCACGUAAAAGCAUGGUAACAUGAGAUCAGCGACGGAAAGGGGCCUCAAAAGUACUCUAGGCACUCUCAGCUCUGGCACACAACGUCAUGCAAUGUAUCAAAACACUCAUCUCUUCUAUGUCUCCCAGUAGAGCCCAGAGAUGUGGCCAUUACCAUCCCCAUUUUGCACAAGACAAUAGAAAGAACUGGACAUUUUAAGUGACUUAUUCUUGCCCCUGCCCUUCCAAGAAAGCAUUUGCUAGCUAGAGUGUCAGAAUGCAAGUGAAAAUCCAGACUCGCUCGCCAACCUCCACCAAAUCCUGCCCAUUUUCUGUAACAUCAGUGGCCAAGUUUCAUCUCUUUUACGUUUUCUUAGAACUAGUGCUAACCAUGUCAAUUUGAGGAUGCCGGUUGCCUCUCUGCAUAUUUCCAUAAUGAUCAUCACCAUGACAGUAUAGCUACCAUCUAUCUGGUGACUGAAGCGGCUUGAUGUGUUAAGUUUUACAGUACACUAAUGCUCGCAGCCAACCUGUGUGGUAGGUGACAUCACACA
Molecule: long non-coding RNA, 1779 nt
Organism: Pteropus alecto (black flying fox)
Lineage: Eukaryota; Metazoa; Chordata; Mammalia; Chiroptera; Pteropodidae
Exons: 3
Source: RefSeq, a predicted model, not a curated record